GACGAACGCUGGCGGCGUGCUUAACACAUGCAAGUCGAACGGAAAGGCCCUGCUUUUGUGGGGUGCUCGAGUGGCGAACGGGUGAGUAACACGUGAGUAACCUGCCCUUGACUUUGGGAUAACUUCAGGAAACUGGGGCUAAUACCGGAUAGGAGCUCCUGCUGCAUGGUGGGGGUUGGAAAGUUUCGGCGGUUGGGGAUGGACUCGCGGCUUAUCAGCUUGUUGGUGGGGUAGUGGCUUACCAAGGCUUUGACGGGUAGCCGGCCUGAGAGGGUGACCGGCCACAUUGGGCCUGAGAUACGGCCCAGACUCCUACGGGAGGCAGCAGUGGGGAAUAUUGCACAAUGGGCGGAAGCCUGGUGCAGCAACGCCGCGUGCGGGAUGACGGCCUUCGGGUUGUAAACCGCUUUCGCCUGUGACGAAGCGUGAGUGACGGUAAUGGGUAAAGAAGCACCGGCUAACUACGUG
RNAcentral lists this ribosomal RNA (468 nucleotides) under uncultured bacterium. RNAcentral's name for it is "partial 16S ribosomal RNA". It matches the Rfam family "Bacterial small subunit ribosomal RNA", at positions 28 to 507 of the family's 1533-position model. The record is from RNAcentral.